RNAcentral lists this ribosomal RNA (492 nucleotides) under uncultured bacterium. RNAcentral's name for it is "partial 16S ribosomal RNA". It matches the Rfam family "Bacterial small subunit ribosomal RNA", at positions 29 to 507 of the family's 1533-position model. The record is from RNAcentral.
AGUGAACGCUGGCGGUAGGCCUAACACAUGCAAGUCGAACGGCAGCACAGUAAGAGCUUGCUCUUACGGGUGGCGAGUGGCGGACGGGUGAGGAAUACAUCGGAAUCUACUUUUUCGUGGGGGAUAACGUAGGGAAACUUACGCUAAUACCGCAUACGACCUACGGGUGAAAGCAGGGGAUCUUCGGACCUUGCGCGAUUGAAUGAGCCGAUGUCGGAUUAGCUAGUUGGCGGGGUAAAGGCCCACCAAGGCGACGAUCCGUAGCUGGUCUGAGAGGAUGAUCAGCCACACUGGAACUGAGACACGGUCCAGACUCCUACGGGAGGCAGCAGCGGGGAAUAUUGGACAAUGGGCGCAAGCCUGAUCCAGCCAUACCGCGUGGGUGAAGAAGGCCUUCGGGUUGUAAAGCCCCUUUGUUGGGAAAGAAAAGCAGCAGGUUAAUACCCCGCUGUUCUGACGGUACCCAAAGAAUAAGCACCGACUAACUUCGUG